UAACGCGAAGAACCUUACCUGGGUUUGACAUAUACCGGAAAGCUGCAGAGAUGUAGCCCCCCUUGUGGUCGGUAUACAGGUGGUGCAUGGCUGUCGUCAGCUCGUGUCGUGAGAUGUUGGGUUAAGUCCCGCAACGAGCGCAACCCUCGUCCUAUGUUGCCAGCACGUAAUGGUGGGGACUCAUAGGAGACUGCCGGGGUCAACUCGGAGGAAGGUGGGGAUGACGUCAAGUCUUCAUGCCCCUUAUGUCCAGGGCUUCAAGCAUGCUACAAUGGCCGGUACAAAGGGCUGCGAAACCGCAAGGUGGAGCGAAUCCCAAAAAGCCGGUCUCAGUUCGGAUUGGGGUCUGCAACUCGACCCCAUGAAGUCGGAGUCGCUAGUAAUCGCAGAUCAGCAACGCUGCGGUGAAUACGUUCCCGGGUCUUGUACACACCGA
This 436-nucleotide ribosomal RNA is filed under the name uncultured bacterium. RNAcentral's name for it is "bacterial SSU rRNA". It matches the Rfam family "Bacterial small subunit ribosomal RNA", at positions 957 to 1393 of the family's 1533-position model. The record is from RNAcentral.